This 497-nucleotide ribosomal RNA is filed under the name uncultured bacterium. RNAcentral's name for it is "partial 16S ribosomal RNA". It matches the Rfam family "Bacterial small subunit ribosomal RNA", at positions 28 to 507 of the family's 1533-position model. The record is from RNAcentral.
GAUGAACGCUGGCGGCGUGCCUAAUACAUGCCAGUCGAGCGAACGGACGAGAAGCUUGCUUCUCUGAUGUUAGCGGCGGACGGGUGAGUAACACGUGGAUAACCUACCUAUAAGACUGGGAUAACUUCGGGAAACCGUAGCUAAUACCGGAUAAUAUUUUGAACCGCAUGGUUCAAAAGUGAAAGACGGUCUUGCUGUCACUUAUAGAUGGGUCCGCGCUGCAUUAGCUAGUUGGUAAGGUAACGGCUUACCAAGGCAACGAUGCAUAGCCGACCUGAGAGGGUGAUCGGCCACACUGGAACUGAGAAACGGUCCAGACUCUUACGGGAGGCAGCAGUAGGGAAUCUUCCGCAAUGGGCGAAAGCCUGACGGAGCAACGCCGCGUGAGUGAUGAAGGUCUUCGGAUCGUAAAACUCUGUUAUUAGGGAAGAACAUAUGUGUAAGUAACUGUGCACAUCUUGACGGUACCUAAUCAGAAAGCCACGGCUAACUACGUG